Molecule: long non-coding RNA, 1133 nt
Filed under: Triticum aestivum (bread wheat)
Lineage: Eukaryota; Viridiplantae; Streptophyta; Magnoliopsida; Poales; Poaceae
Description: long non-coding RNA (TAES_LNC003834)
Source: RNAcentral
UAUAUUUGGUGAUCUGGUCAUCAAUAUGUUCAUGUUCUACAACCCUAUCGGCCCCGGGCAAAGAAUCACACACGUUAUCAUAGGCGAGGACUGGUCGUGGCUAUAUGCAAGUGUGGUCGCCGACACCCAGGCAGGCUCAACAUAUAGCAUGCAUACACGGGCUCUUUUCUUUAUACUAUGCACCUUGAAUUCUGUGAGAUAUACACGUACAUUGCUCCCAAGUCAUAUAGAGGUUAAUGCUCAAUCUUUAUUUUAUUUUUAUUAAGAAACUAAUUGGUGAUGCUUUGUACAUAAUAGUCAGGAUCUGGUUCACAUGACUAUAUGUUGCCCUGCAUAAAUGAUCUUCACCACUCUCUCUAUACCCUUUUAUAUAUUGUUUGACUUUUUUACUUUUCUAUCUGCAGAUGAGUAAGAGAAGAAAAAUGGAUGUGCCCCUGUUUACAUCAAGAGAAUGUACCCCAUUUAAGGACCUAACAAACACAACUAUGGAUGGUAGUGCUAAUAUCCCACAUAAUCAAACGGACGAUCCUAAAAGGAAAAGUGUUCAAUCAUGGUGAUGAGAAGAAAGCAGAAUACAACGCGAAGUGUCAUAUAUCAUGACAACAAACGAGAGUUGCAGCUCUAGACUGUCUUAAUCAGGACCAAUUAUCACAAACAUGUGUUUCUCCGUUAGACUGUGCUAUGGUUCAUCUCUACAACAGUUUUCCUAUCUAACAUCAUGUGUAUCUCAGUGCAGCUUCUGGUCAGGCCCCACUUGUUUCUGGCGAUCCCAGGUUCCAGUCAAAUGCAAUAGGAUAUGUAAUGCUUAUUUGUCACAUUCAUUCAUUAUGUAUUAACUCUUCUCUCCUGUGACGGUAAUGUGUCACAAAUUCAUCAAAAAAUGUGCCACUCCCUCCUAAUGCUCCCUCAUGGUGCUAGAAAAACUCCCAGGUCAGAAAAAUUAUCACGGUUGCUUCAACAUUUAUCUCUUUGAGCUGUAAUAAGAGUUUUGCGACAAGGCUGCCUUGCAACAUUUUAUACGACCAUAUUAUUUUCUGGAGAUUUUAUAUUGCCUGACCAUUAAUUUGGCUUCAAAUGCUCCCGAUGAGGCUUGAAAGUUCGUUAAGUGUGGUAAGACCACUCUCACAUUCAGG